This is a microRNA precursor of Oryza sativa Indica Group (long-grained rice), 188 nucleotides long. The record is from Rfam. Lineage: Eukaryota; Viridiplantae; Streptophyta; Magnoliopsida; Poales; Poaceae.
UGGAUGAGAGCCACUCUGGCUAGCCAAGAAGACCGGCCCAUGCAGCCACAUUGCACAUCCUAUCACAAGAAUUUCUUUCAAAAACCCUUAAUCUGCCAUGGCAGAUAGAUAGAUGGAUGGAUGAGCCAACAGAGGGCAAAAGCAUAGGCAAGUCAUUCUUGGCUACCAAAGGGAGUAACCUCUCAAUC